UACGUAGGGGGCAAGCGUUGUCCGGAAUCAUUGGGCGUAAAGAGCGUGUAGGCGGCCUGAUAAGUCGGCUGUGAAAGUCAAGGGCUCAACCCUUGAAUGCCGGCCGAUACUGUCAGGCUAGAGUCCGGAAGAGGCGAGUGGAAUUCCUGGUGUAGCGGUGAAAUGCGCAGAUAUCAGGAGGAACACCUAUGGCGAAGGCAGCUCGCUGGGACGGUACUGACGCUGAGACGCGAAAGCGUGGGGAGCGAACAGG
This 253-nucleotide ribosomal RNA is filed under the name uncultured bacterium. RNAcentral's name for it is "partial 16S ribosomal RNA". It matches the Rfam family "Bacterial small subunit ribosomal RNA", at positions 524 to 776 of the family's 1533-position model. The record is from RNAcentral.